This 538-nucleotide unclassified non-coding RNA is filed under the name Hevea brasiliensis (rubber tree). The record is from RNAcentral. Lineage: Eukaryota; Viridiplantae; Streptophyta; Magnoliopsida; Malpighiales; Euphorbiaceae.
GCCUUGCGCUCGAGGAAGGUCUUGCCGCCCUUCAUCUUGUGGGUCAACGGCGCUUCAUUGAUCUGCACCGUCACGGCCUCCGCAUCGACGCCGAGGUUCUUGACCAGCGCCUGGGUGAUGUCGAGCAUCAUGCCCUUCUUCUGCUCGUCGGUGCGUCCGGCGGCCAUGUUCACGGUUACCUCAGGCAUGUUCGUUUCCCUUUUUCUUGGCGACAGAAAUUGUCAGGCGUGAAACUUCAAUCCAUCGACGAUCUUGUCAACCACCUUGCGCUCGGCGCGGAACGCCAGCCCGACCAGAUUGAGAUCGGCGCGGAUGACGGCCUGCACCGCGGCGCGGUUGGCUUCGUCAUGCGUGGUCUUGAACAUGUCCUCGGUAUAGACGGCGGGCUUGACGUCGCGCGCCAGUGCCCGUUCGAGCGCCCGCGACAGCGCGGGCCGGUCCGCGCCAUAGAUCAGGAUCGGCUGACCGAUCAGCGCGUGAUAGCGCGUGCCGGAUUUGUCCUCAUAAGGCUCGCCGAUACAUUCGGGAAACGCCGCCG